Molecule: long non-coding RNA, 2388 nt
Filed under: Oryzias sinensis (Chinese medaka)
Lineage: Eukaryota; Metazoa; Chordata; Actinopteri; Beloniformes; Adrianichthyidae
Description: lncRNA (ENSOSIG00000004999.1)
Source: RNAcentral
GUAAAGGGUACACGCUGACGUUCUGAGUUAGUGUUUUUCACUUUAAUAAAUGGAGUUCAGGCCAGCGCCAUAACAUUGAACAUUCAGGCUAUUUGACCGGAUUGACUUAAAGUUGUCCAUUACUACUUUUUAAUCGACAGCCAAUCAGAAUUGAGGAUUGAUCUGGACAUUGGAAGUGUUCAAGCUUCUUUGACGGCUGCAGUCGACUAAUCCUUUUUCCUGUUCACAAAAGCAAAUGUUUGUCCAGAGGAUUGACUCCAACAUCACAAAAGGCUCCUGAAAGCUCACCGUUGGUCUGGAUUACACUAACAAACCAUGUAAUUAGUACGUAUUAUCUAUAUGCAGGCGGGCUCGCGGCAACAACGCGGGGACGUCAGGAGGAGGAUGGAGCACUCGCCGAGGACGCGGCUGUGAUCUCUGAGGAGGCAACUUCAGAGAGGCAGGGCCGGGCGAAACAAAGUACCAGGCCCUUCCGUGGACACAAAUCUUGUCGAUGGUAAUUGAUCACUGCUGGUCACCCGCACAGGACCCCGGACGAAAUCAAGUGGCUUCUCCAUAAAACAAUGUCAAAUAUUGACGAUAUUUCUCUUCCCUGCCCCCAGGAUGAAUGGCCUCAUCCUAUCUGUAGUUUUGAUGAAUGUUUGUUGUUGCCUUCCUCUCUUGUUGUCUUUCUUUUGUCUUUUUCACAGAUUUUCAGUCCAGGUUCCCAAAAAGGAAGUAAAAAAAAAUCAAAUAAUUUUGAUCUAUUCACGUUAAAAAAGUAGAAACAUUCAUGAAGUUUUUAUCUCACGUUUUAAAUUGAGAUAACUUUGAGAAAUGAAUUUUGACGGAAAGUUGUUUUGGAGAAAAAUUGUAUUUUUAUUUUGGAUUCCUGCAGGAUCCUGCACCCUAUGUAAAGAUCCAGUUCCCAGUCACAUGCACGUGCAUGGGGGGGUCGACCCAUACAGGUGCUGAGGGCUUUUGGGUUGUCCGGGUCUGUGGAAGGGAGCGGCUGCAUCUCUAGGGGAGCGCCGGUGUGUCUUCCCUUCAGGCUCGUAUGGCCACCUUAAGGACUGUCGGUAAAUGGAACAUACCAUUGUCCUGCAUGUGGGAUCAUGAAGUACUGGUAAGACUAAUGGUUAGGUGAUGCUGUUACAUGGUACCCUUACGUCCCACUGUAGUUGUCACUAAAGUACAAGUACUUACGCUACUGAAUGCACACACUCAGGUUGUGCGCUUGAUACCAAAGUACCCGUAGGACGCCUAUAGGAUGUCCACACAAAUGUCUUCUUUUCUAUCAGUCAGGCUACAGGCUAGGAGUAUGCAAUUAUCACAUGAAGCGCACUAACCAGCCCCUUGCACAGUCCACAGGAUUUAUGGGCAUUUGAAAUAUACGUUGCACCUACUUCAUCCUUACUUCACCCUUAUGUGUCGUGCAAGUUUCACUACAACCUGUCGCCUGCAGAAUUUUGGUAAAAAACAAAAAAAGGGCUCACUGAGCGAUCUACAACCCUAAUAUUUUGCGCGGGACACCUUUGUUGGCCCAUUAUUUACUGGUUCAGCGCGUAUCCACCAGUGAGGGCUGCUGGAACAACAUGGUAACUUCUGCAAAUCUAUGAAACCUUCUAAUCUGAACAUGGUUGUUGCUGCACACAGUGAAUCACUGUCUUUGUUAUGUUAUCUUUUCAAAAGAUCACAGUCAGCCGUUAUCAUUAUAACAGAUGAGACGAGGAAAGUGAGAAAACCAGCUCACACUUUCCAAAACCGUUAGCUAAAUCUGCAGGAAGUGUCUUUCUUCCACCUUUACCCACUGAGUAGUUCCACACACUUUUAACUUUGACAGACAACCUGGAGGAACGCCGUCAGCAUGCGGCAUAACCGCCGACGGACACGGCCCGCACAGAGAACACAUCCCGGUCCGGUCCGUGCGCGUCCACCGCUCUCCAGAGGGCUGUUUAUGGGCUGUGCGCUGGCAUAAAGACUCAUCCUGUCAGCGCCGCAGCCGUGAAGCAAAAACAAACAGACAAAUACACGGACCCACAUCAAAAUGCGUCUGCGGCUGGAGUUGACAGCCGAUGUUCAAAUCAGUGCAAGUGUUGCCUCAGUUGUUUGAGUGAAUCACAGCUCAGAGACGUCAACCAUUUUACUUUUAAUCCUUUCUUCAUGGCGAGUAAACACCCCCCCCACCCCCAACCCAACCCCCCCACCCUCCGCCUUUUCUCUCAAAUUAAUUAGUGGAGACAUUUCACAAAUUAAGUUUGUCUGUUCUCUUACUGCGACAGAACAAAAUCAUUUCAAAAGGACCCUUGUCCUUCUGCAGCCCUGCUGUUGGUGCUAACAACAGCUGUCACAAAACGCUCUUUUUUUUUUUUUUUUUCCUUCCUAACUUGCAUAAACACAUUACACCCC